Molecule: ribosomal RNA, 460 nt
Filed under: uncultured bacterium
Lineage: Bacteria
Description: partial 16S ribosomal RNA
Rfam family: Bacterial small subunit ribosomal RNA
Source: RNAcentral
CCUACGGGAGGCAGCAGUGAGGAAUAUUGGUCAAUGGACGAGAGUCUGAACCAGCCAAGUAGCGUGAAGGAUGACUGCCCUAUGGGUUGUAAACUUCUUUUAUAUGGGAAUAAAAUGUGCCACGUGUGGGAUUUUGUAUGUACCAUAUGAAUAAGGAUCGGCUAACGCCGUGCCAGCAGCCGCGGUAAUACGGAGGAUCCGAGCGUUAUCCGGAUUUAUUGGGUUGAAAGGGAGCGUAGGUGGAUUUGUAAGUCAGUUGUGAAAGUUUGCGGCUCAACCGUAAAAUUGCAGUUGAAACUGGCAGUCUUGAGUACAGUAGAGGUGGGCGGAAUUCGGGGUGUAGCGGUGAAAUGCUUAGAUAUCACGAAGAACACCGAUUGCGAAGGCAGUUCACUGGACUGCAACUGACGCUGAGGCUCGAAAGUGUGGGUAUCAAACAGGAUUAGAUACCCCAGUAGUC